UACGUAGGGGGCUAGCGUUGUCCGGAAUCAUUGGGCGUAAAGAGCGCGUAGGCUGCUCGGUAAGUCCGCUGUAAAAGUCAAAGGCUUAACCUUUGAAUGUCAGUGGAAACUGCCGGGCUAGAGUCCGGAAGAGGCGAGUGGAAUUCCUGGUGUAGCGGUGGAAUGCGUAGAUAUCUGGAGGAACACCGGUGGCGAAGGCGGCAUCCUGGACCAACACUGACGCUGAGGAGCGAAAGCCAGGGGAGCAAACGAG
RNAcentral lists this ribosomal RNA (253 nucleotides) under uncultured bacterium. Its description in RNAcentral is "partial 16S ribosomal RNA". It matches the Rfam family "Bacterial small subunit ribosomal RNA", at positions 524 to 776 of the family's 1533-position model. The record is from RNAcentral.